Molecule: long non-coding RNA, 1308 nt
Filed under: Homo sapiens (human)
Lineage: Eukaryota; Metazoa; Chordata; Mammalia; Primates; Hominidae
Description: HSALNT0013690
Source: RNAcentral
AGGCACUGUGUUGACAUAUCCAGUAUAGGAGUGCCCUGGGAGCCCAUCUCUCAUUUCUGAAAGAGAUAGCAUUGUAGAUCUGGACGUUUCAUCACAUAUUCCCAGGAAGGCCCAGCCAAAUGCAGCUGGCACUGUGCCAGACAUUGGGCUAGGUGCUGGGAAUUGAAAUAAUAAACUAUUUCCUGAUUUCUCUUCUCUCUUCUGGAGAAAGAAUUGGAUUAGAACAAGGGGACUUAGAUAUGAUCUGCACCUAGAUGGUAAGAAGAUUUUCCAUAUUUUGAAGUAGAAACUUUCUGUAUGCCUGAAUCUUGCUGUCAAGAAUGUCUUGGCUAAUCAUGAAGGAAGAAUAUAAGAAUUUACAGUGGGUCAGCUUGUUCUGUGCUAACAUGGAAGUGACAAGAAGCUGGUGUCCCUCUACACAGAGGUCCCCACACUAAAUAUCAUCUUGGAUGUGCUUCACAUUGUUGCACAAAGGUACAGUGGAGUGAGACUGAGUAAGAGGACAGAAAUAGUGGGGGGUUUGUCUCAGCUCACUAAUUACUUAUUUAACCUUGGGCAAGAUACUUAAAGCUCUAUCUCAGUUUCUUCAUCUGCAAAAUGGGUAUAAUAAUGACUGGGGUGCCUAUUUCCCACGAUUGUUUUGAGGAUCAAAUGAGAUAAUAUAAUUAAAAGUGUUUUUGGAAGGUCUAAAUCACUGCGCAACUGCAAGGCAUUAUUAAAAGAAAUCUUCCUUUUAAUUCCUGCUUCCACAAACAUCUCAUCACAUAUCCUUGGGUUCCUGGGUUACAUGGAGAGAUUCGUGGUGUAGCUCAAUCUAUGUGUCAUAGCUAUCCCACAAUCUCUUCUUCAACUUCUCCAACACACCAAGACAUUCUUCCAGUCUUGCAUUGUUCCCCAGUUUAUAUAGAUAUAUAUGUUCCUCAUUCAGCAUUUAUGUAAAACAUAUAUUAUUGAGCACUUAUGUGAUAGAAACCGAGGCAAAACAGAAAAUAAAACAGAGUUUUAUUUUGAGAGUUUUUUUUACAGCUUAUCGGCUCUGAGAGGACAGACAUGAGAACAAAUAAGUGCCCAAUUCUGCAUUUAUUUUGGAAGGCAGUUUUAUGUGAGUUUAAAUCAGUAAAGACAUAGAUGUAUAUUUUUAGUUUUGAUUAAAACUAAAACAAUUGGUAGCCCUUAUUCAUAUUUUUCUAUCAUUAAAACUUAUCUUUAAAAAAUGUCUUCAGUCAUAUUUUUCCCUUACUUCCAUUCAUAUUUACUCUUUACUUCUCUUGUCCUUACCAGAAUGUAUGCAGUAAGUUUUCAUAUUGU